CACUUUAAAAUUUAAGAACCAUGUCCCUUUACUUCAAAUCUAACCCACAAUCGGAAAUUAAGGUUUUUCAUAGAGAGUGUACCAUAACAUGAACGGGAUUUUGAAAAUAAUCUCGAGGUGGCGGAAUAAUCCACAUAAAACAUUAUCGGGGUUUAAAAAACAUUCGUGAGACAGCGGAAGGAAAUAAACUUUAUUAAAGAUACCCCCGUUUAAUAGACUGGGUUCCCCAAUCAGAGUACAAAAUGAAAUCAUACUAUGUUGAUUAGUUUUUCGAUAAAGCGUUGACGUGGUAAAUACGAGUAAAAUAAUCUGGCACCAAAGCUCGUGAUUCCUCGAACUCCACUCCGCCGGCCUCCUAAAUAGCUUGGAGAACCUGAAAAGAUAAUUUGCAUAAAAGCAUGAGCCCAACCACUGGCUCAGUAAGGACGUUAGUCUUAGUCUGACGAACUCACGCCUCUCUCAUCGCAUCUCUCACGACCUAUGGGAGUCCUAAAGUAUUCGUCUAUGUUCUUUUCCGUCUAUGUUAUUUUACGUCAUAAUUAUAUUAUGCUAUAUUAUUUCGUAUGCAAGUAUGCACUUGUUGGGAUCCCUAACGUAAGCAUCGGCAAUAGACGUUUAUAUGCUGAGCCCGGUCAUUCGGUGGGAGCUAACCACCCUGUUGUUCUAUAGUAACUGUUGUUGGGAUACCGGCCCCCCGUAUCCCGUGUCUAUUCAACCGUAGCAACGUUACAACUUUGACUUUUCUUUAGUAGACCAUGCAAUACCAAUUAAUGACUCGAUGAAUGCACGAAAGUCCAAGAUCUUAAUAGCAACACGAUAAUAAUUCCAAUUAUAUCAUUCACGUAAUUCGAAGGAAUUAAAUCACAUAAUUCGGAAGUAAUUUCCGAGACUAUAGUAAGCACAUAGAGAUCAAACAUUAGUAAUAAAAACACAUAUACUUUUACACGUAUAUACACAUAGGUACUUAUACGUAUAUAUAUACUUAUACAUAUACGUAUAUACUCUAAUUUAUAACUAUGGGCUAUAAGUUUCCUCAACCCGAAGGGAGUACGCCUAUAACAUCAUAGGUCUAAACUAUCGAUAUACAUAUACAUAUACUUUUAUAUAUACAUACUUAUACCUCAUAAGAGUAAAACACAUUAUUCAAAUAAUCAUCAUGAAUUUCAAUAUUUCACAUAAUACCUAUUCAAAGGACUAUAGAAAAUCAAAUCUAGUAGAGGUACUAGGACAUAGAAAGUUUCAAGAACAACUUAUAGUCUUUGUAUCUUACUUAUAAGUACUCUAAUAAUGGUUCUCUAGAUGUAACAUCAUAAUCUAUAUUCAUUACCAUAUUAAAUCAUGUCUCAAGAGUUUAAAUCAUGCUUACAAAGGACCCUUUAAUUCAAAGAAAUUCGUUUUUAGGAAAAUCGGAUAGUUUUGACACCUUAACUUCAAAAACACAUUUCUCUUAGACCAUAACUUCAAAAAUUAUGAAACUUUAACAAAAUACUCCUAUAUCAGUAGUAAAGACUCCAUUAAAACAGUUUUCCAAAAUAACCAGUAGCCUAAGAGAAAUAAGUAAAACAGUAGAAUAGUAUGGUCACACUUUCAGAAACAGAACCAGCCACUUUAAAAAUACCCAAUAAAUCACCCUUUUGUUAAAACAAUGUAAGACUUUGCAGAAAACUGGUUUUAUAAGUUAUAAAUAUAUUCCAAGUGGAAUCAAGGAAAUCAAACCAGGAAAACAUCGAUUUUAAAAGCAAUUUCUCAGCUGACUCAAAAACUGUGCAGGUUUAGUAAAUAAUUCAUAUCUUGAUCAUCUGAAAUCCGAUUGAUGAUUAAAAUAUAUCAAUUUAAAGACGACAGAAAGAUCUAGUUACCCAUGAAAUUUCGUGAUUUUAUGAAAACAGGGCAUCUGUGAAACAUGCAGUAAACUCCGAGGCUGAGAACCUGAAAAAUUCAUUAGUGAUCUAUAUCUACAUCUUUGAUCAAAACAGAUCUGGCAGUUUAGGCACUAUAACUUCAGAAAUUCAUAUCUCCUUAACCGUAGAUCCAAACCUGAUGAAAUUUGGAAUAAAUGUUCAUAUCUAAGUCUAGUUUAUAGGGUUAAAACAGUUUAUGAAGAAACUUAUCUAUGUAAGAGAUAUAAUCAAUUUAGUGCAGUAACAUAAGCAGAAAUUCGGAACAGAUCCAGUAACUUUAAAAAUACCAAUUAAUUCAUACCUUUACUUAAACACUACCAAAUUUUGUGAACAGUCAGUUUCAUAAGUUUAUAAUCAUAUUCAAUUGGAAUCAACUCAAUAAGAUUAGUAUAAAACUCUAUUUAGCACAUAACUCGUGGAUGACUCCGAAACUGUGCAGAUUCAGAAAAAGGUUCAUAACUCACUCAAUAUAAAUCCGAUUUAUGCCUAAUUUAUAUCAACAUGAAGCUAACCGAAAGAUCUAGAAUACCACAAAAUUUCAUAAUUUUAUCUUAAUAAUUACCCGAUGAGACAUGCAACACAAACAGAGGCUAUGAAACUGAAAUUCAAUUAGUGUUCAUUAAGAACUUUAUCUUCUAAAGCCCAAAUUAAAACCUCAAACAUAAAAUUCAUUAAAACACAUAUAAUUUAUUUUAAUUAGCUUAUUAUUUCAGUAAAUACCAAGGUCCUUACCCAAGAGUAAGAAAUCGAAGAUGAAGGUGUAAGAAAACCAAAGCUCGGUGACUUUUCGGCGGGUUUGGCUUGGAUGUUCUUGGAUGGAUUUGGGGCUGAGGUUUGAAGGAUGUGAAGGGGUUGUUUCUUGAAGAUUUUUAGCAGAAAUGAAGAAGAGGGAGCUUCUCUUUUCGAGAGGGAUUGAAGAGAGAAGAGGAAGGGGCUUGAUGGGAGCUUCUUGAAGUGCAAGAAGAGAAUUCUUCUUGGGGCUGUUUUUGCUCGAUGGAGAGGGAGAGGAGAGGAGAGGAGAGGAGAGGGAGAGGAGAGGGCCUUUUGG
This 2949-nucleotide long non-coding RNA is filed under the name Erythranthe guttata (spotted monkey flower). Its description in RNAcentral is "long non-coding RNA (EGUT_LNC000760)". The record is from RNAcentral. Lineage: Eukaryota; Viridiplantae; Streptophyta; Magnoliopsida; Lamiales; Phrymaceae.